GCAAACACAUCCUCGAACUCUUGUACUACCGCAAUAUCUGUGAUUUCAACUCCAUUGCUAGCGGGUCCUUCACUAGCAGUUACUGUUACCAGAUACGCUUCUCCAUCCUUAAGCAAAUCUUCCACUCUCAAGGCAGCUACUAAAGACACAGACUUGCUUGGACUGAUCCCGUAGAACACUAUUUGCCGUUGCCCGUUCUCCUUGAACAAAACACGACCUUUUCCACAAUCUAACUGUGCCCGGUAGCCUGAUAACCAAUCCAUGUCAAGAAUAACUUCAUAUCCUUUUAAGGGCACCACCAACAAAUCUGCCAAGAACAUCUUCUCGCAAAUGACUAACAGAACUCUUCUGAUGCAUUCUCUUGCUUGGAGGGUUUAGUCUCCGGGAGUCAUAACAGCCACAUCCAUCC
RNAcentral lists this long non-coding RNA (409 nucleotides) under Brassica napus (rape). Its description in RNAcentral is "long non-coding RNA (BNAP_LNC011311)". Lineage: Eukaryota; Viridiplantae; Streptophyta; Magnoliopsida; Brassicales; Brassicaceae. The record is from RNAcentral.